RNAcentral lists this ribosomal RNA (425 nucleotides) under uncultured bacterium. RNAcentral describes it as "partial 16S ribosomal RNA". It matches the Rfam family "Bacterial small subunit ribosomal RNA", at positions 354 to 796 of the family's 1533-position model. The record is from RNAcentral.
GUUAGGAAUAUUGGACAAUGGGCGAAAGCCUGAUCCAGCCAUGCCGCGUGAACGAUGAAGGCCUUCGGGUUGUAAAGUUCUUUAGCCGAUGAUUAUAAUGACUGUAGUCGGAAAAUAAGCCCCGGCUAACUUCGUGCCAGCAGCCGCGGUAAUACGAAGGGGGCGAGCGUUAUUCGGAAUCACUGGGCGUAAAGCGUGCGUAGGCGGUUUUGUAAGUUAGGAGUGAAAUCCCAGGGCUCAACCUUGGAAUUGCUCUUAAAACUGCAAGGAUCGAAUCUCGGAGAGGAUAGCGGAAUUUCCAGUGUAGCAGUGAAAUGCGUAGAUAUUGGAAGGAACACCAGUGGCGUAAGCGGCUAUCUGGACGAGUAUUGACGCUGAGGCACGAAAGCGUGGGGAUCAAACAGGAUUAGAAACCCCAGUAGUCC